This 312-nucleotide ribosomal RNA is filed under the name Triticum aestivum (bread wheat). Its description in RNAcentral is "partial small subunit ribosomal RNA". Lineage: Eukaryota; Viridiplantae; Streptophyta; Magnoliopsida; Poales; Poaceae. The record is from RNAcentral.
AUGAGAUUAUGUAAUUCCAUCUGCAUUUCAACGGGAGUAGCAUAUUCUGGUAGCCAAGAGCUUUUGGAAACAUCAAUGAUCAAGGAGGUCGCCAGCAGAGGUAGCAGAGGUGCUCAUGAGACAUCACACUCGAAGAUCUUACUUAUCCAGUUCCUCCAGGGAAAGAAAGAUGGCGCUGGCAAAACAGAAAAUGUGGAGCAGGUGGCCAAAGAGGAAGAAAAAGAGAAAAAAGUGAUGUUCCAGACAAUCAAGAUCAACAAGAUGGGAGCAAAGAAUGAUGAUGUGCAUACAGUGCGAAUAUCAUACAAUUAG